AAGUCGUAACAAGGUUUCCGUAGGUGAACCUGCGGAAGGAUCAUUAAAGAGUUAGGGUCUCUCCAGGCCCGACCUCCCAACCCUUUGUUUACUUUGCUGCAUGUUGCUUUGGCAGACCCGUCUCACGACCGCCCUGGGACCGCCGAGAGGUGCCCCUGGGCCCGUGUCCGCCGAUAGCCCACCUAAACUCUUGAAUGAAUCGUGUUUUAUGUCUGAGUCUAUUGAUUAAAUCAAAAGCAAAAACUUUCAACAACGGAUCUCUUGGUUCUG
Molecule: unclassified non-coding RNA, 270 nt
Filed under: Capronia americana
Lineage: Eukaryota; Fungi; Ascomycota; Eurotiomycetes; Chaetothyriales; Herpotrichiellaceae
Description: Phialophora americana partial internal transcribed spacer region
Rfam family: Eukaryotic small subunit ribosomal RNA (bases 1-46)
Source: RNAcentral